Non-coding RNA from Lepisosteus oculatus (spotted gar), 1567 nucleotides. Lineage: Eukaryota; Metazoa; Chordata; Actinopteri; Semionotiformes; Lepisosteidae. The record is from RefSeq and is a predicted model, not a curated record.
GGGCUCACGGGCGUUAUAUAGCAGUCCGGGGCUCGCGAGAGUUCGGGCGCCCCGGGACCCUGUAUAACUCAUUCUUCUCGCGCCGCAGCCAAUGGGGAGUUAUGUCCAUUCACGUUUCGGGGAGGGAACAGCUCCACUUCCGACCGGACCAUGCGGAGGUGAACUGGUAGCCAGAUCGGUCAGUUAAGAAAAGGAAGGAGGACAGGUUGUUUUCAGUGGAUGGAAACGGCCCAGGCUCGUUGUCUCCGUCGCUGACGGAAGAAAACCGGUUACAGCUGUGUCGCUCUCGGCGGUUUCUGGGAAGGGAAUCCCGGAAGAAAUGGGGCUGAUGCUGGGCUGCGUUCUGCCACAGCGUCUUCUCUGUCCUUUGUGACAACGGGGAACCCCCAGACGUGUUCUGACGAGGAGCUGUCGGGCUGUGUUGGAACCAGGCUUUUCUCACUCCCUGACAGCGGUCCAGGAGAAGCAGAGGAGCACCAUCGCUUGGGAAUUUGCUGAGGAAGGCAGGGAGUGGGUCAGAGGUGACCUGUGAUCUUACAGAGGGUCUUAUUUCCCAGUAUUUGCAGGCGAAGCUGAAGUCCAAGCGCUUUAAAAGGCGAGACAGUUUCCGUGCAAGGUGCAGCCCAAGCCCACCUGCUGGACUGUGUCGGGCGAGCCCGCACGUUCUGUGCUGUUCCUGACAAGCUGGGACCUGACAGGAGUCUCUGAAAAUGGGGGUCCUGCUGUCCCCUGUGGGUGGCAAGAUCAGAAGUGCCACACUGGGGGGGGUUGGGGGGACCUGCUCCUGUUCGACUAGUCACCAGGCAAACGAGCUGCUUCUGGGGAGGGUGUGGUCUCCCUGAGUAAGAGGUGCAGUUCUUCCCAACAGUCCUUCCUUCCUCCGAGACCACCAAGGGCAGGGGGCCAAGAGGAACUGUGAUUCCUGAGCACUGCCUGAUCCACUCCGUAGCCAGACCUUGCUCCCGACAAAUCCUGUUGCUUUCCACCCAGAUGGGAAACCAGAUGAUUUUGCUUGUUAAGAGCGAAGUAUGGAUGAAGACCUAGAGACAUCAUGGCCCCCAGGGCUUUGAUUGGAGACAUCAGGCCAAGAUCGUGGUCAGAGAUGCAGCACACUUGCAAUACAGUGAUCCCAGUAGAACAUUAUCGCAGCUUUGACUCAGGGUGACUUGAUGACAAGUACACACAGAAGUGUGUUUAAAAACCAUUUAUUACCUUGCAAAACCAUUCUUUAAUUCACGCAUGGUACAGAGUAAAUCCACAUUGAAAACAUUCAUUGGUGUUAUUUAUAUUUUUUCUAUUUAAUAUUCACAUCUUCAAGCACUUUAUCUUGAUAUUUUGCGUGUUAAUUUGUGCACUCAAAUGCUAUUCUUCAUGGGUCUUUUUCAUUUAAAAAUUGGCUAUCACAAUUCCAGAAACAAUGAUGUAAACAUUUAAUCACAAUUCUAAUUAUAAUUUAAUCCUGCUGAAUGAUGAUAAUCUAAGGAGGGAUUAAUAUAAGGAUACUGUUUCAUUUUGGGAUUUUAUGUAAUACUGUGAUUUGUACCAAUAAAACUUGUUUUAAAACGUA